CCCGCAGCGAUACUGACGUG
Molecule: small RNA, 20 nt
Filed under: Arabidopsis thaliana (thale cress)
Lineage: Eukaryota; Viridiplantae; Streptophyta; Magnoliopsida; Brassicales; Brassicaceae
Description: Ath_wt_19925
Source: RNAcentral